CUUGAAAUGGGCUGAGUCCCUCUUGCUCACCCUUGACUUGGAAAAACCAGUUUCUCUUUUAUUGUGUUACUAAUCUCUAUUCUAAAAAUUCAGCUCAAUUCUCAACCAUACUCCAAACUCUCUCCUUUCCAGCUACUUUUACUCCCUCUCCUUCAAUUCCAAUUUCCUCUGCUUUCAUUUUUUUUUCUGAAAGGGUCUCACUUUGUCGCCCAGGUAGGAGUGCAGUAGUGCAAUCUUGGGCUCCCUGCAGCCUCAACCUCCCAGAAGCGGGGUUUCACCAUGUUGCCCAGACUGGUCUUGAACUCCUCAGCUUAAGCAAUCCACCUGCCUCGGCUUCCCAAAGUCUUGGGAUUACAGGCGUGAGCCACCGCAUCCGGCCUCAUGUUCUUUUUCAUUAAAGAGAGAAAUCAACUAUUCAGGACCGGCCCCCACCUUUCUUCAGGAGUCAUUUCUGUUCUACACAGGCCUGCCGAACUGGGUGCUUUAUAUAGGACACUGUCAUCUCUCAAGUACACAUCUUGGAGGGUACGGACCCCACAUGAGGAUUUCAGUGGAGUGAAGUUCAGGAGGCAUGGAGCUGACGGCGAUGAGGCCUCGGCAGCCACAGCCGCCGCCGCCACUGCCACCGCCACCGCCGCCGCAGCAGCAACAGCAAGAGUAACUCUGACUUAGGAAUAGAGACAGCCAGAGAGAAUGUGAUCAAUGAAGGAGACAUCUGGAGUAUGCGUGCUUCUUCAGAGGGACUGGUGAUGGGCAGAUUGGAAAAAGCACCACAGAUGGGAACCACUUAUCUUUCUUUUCUGAAAUUGAUGCUAUGAAAAUUUGUGUUUUCUGUAACUUGUAAAAAUUAAAAGUUGCUUGUCUACUGAAAA
Long non-coding RNA from Nomascus leucogenys (northern white-cheeked gibbon), 872 nucleotides. RefSeq lists it as uncharacterized. The record is from RefSeq and is a predicted model, not a curated record. The transcript has 4 exons. NCBI's taxonomy places the organism in Eukaryota, Metazoa, Chordata, Mammalia, Primates, Hylobatidae.